AUACGUAGGUGACAAGCGUUAUCCGGAUUUACUGGGCGUAAAGGGCGUGUAGGCGGCCGAUUAAGUCUGGAGUGAAAGUCCUGCAUUCAAUGUGGGAAUUGCUUUGGAGACUGGUUGGCUUGAGUGCGGAAGAGGUAAGUGGAAUUCCCAGUGUAGCGGUGAAAUGCGUAGAGAUUGGGAGGAACACCAGUGGCGAAGGCGACUUACUGGGCCGUAACUGACGCUGAGGCGCGAAAGCGUGGGGAGCGAACAGGAUUAGAUACCCUGGUAGUCCACGCGGUAAACGAUGAAUGCUAGGUGUUGCGGGUAUCGACCCCUGCAGUGCCGGAGUAAACACAAUAAGCAUUCCGCCUGGGGAGUACGGCCGCAAGGUUGAAACUCAAAGGAAUUGACGGGG
This 397-nucleotide ribosomal RNA is filed under the name uncultured bacterium. RNAcentral describes it as "partial 16S ribosomal RNA". It matches the Rfam family "Bacterial small subunit ribosomal RNA", at positions 523 to 918 of the family's 1533-position model. The record is from RNAcentral.